GCCAGGUGUGGUGGUGUACAUCUGUAAUCCCAGCGGUUCGGGAGGCUGAGGCAGGAGGAUCAUGAGUUCAAAGCCAGCCUCAGCAAAAGUGAGGUGCUAAGCAACUCAGUGAGACCCUGUCUCUA
Molecule: small RNA, 125 nt
Filed under: Marmota monax (woodchuck)
Lineage: Eukaryota; Metazoa; Chordata; Mammalia; Rodentia; Sciuridae
Source: RNAcentral